Molecule: ribosomal RNA, 466 nt
Filed under: uncultured bacterium
Lineage: Bacteria
Description: partial 16S ribosomal RNA
Rfam family: Bacterial small subunit ribosomal RNA
Source: RNAcentral
GACGAACGCUGGCGGCGUGCUUAACACAUGCAAGUCGAACGGUAAGGCUCCAGCUUGCUGGGGUACACGAGUGGCGAACGGGUGAGUAACACGUGGGUGACCUGCCCUGCACUUCGGGAUAAGCCUGGGAAACUGGGUCUAAUACCGGAUAGGACCAUGGUGUGGAUACUGUGGUGGAAAGUUUUUUCGGUGUGGGAUGGGCCCGCGGCCUAUCAGCUUGUUGGCGGGGUAAUGGCCUACCAAGGCGGCGACGGGUAGCCGGCCUGAGAGGGUGGACGGCCACAUUGGGACUGAGACACGGCCCAGACUCCUACGGGAGGCAGCAGUGGGGAAUAUUGCACAAUGGGCGGAAGCCUGAUGCAGCGACGCCGCGUGGGGGAUGACGGCCUUCGGGUUGUAAACUCCUUUCACCAUCGACGAAGGGUUUCUGACGGUAGAUGGAGAAGAAGCACCGGCUAACUACGUG